UGGGGAAUAUUGGACAAUGGGGGCAACCCUGAUCCAGCAAUGCCGCGUGUGUGAAGAAGGCCUUCGGGUUGUAAAGCACUUUCAGUUGGGAAGAACUACUCCAGGUUAAUAACCUGAGAGAUGUGACGUUACCUUCAGAAGAAGCACCGGCUAACUCUGUGCCAGCAGCCGCGGUAAUACAGAGGGUGCAAGCGUUAAUCGGAUUUACUGGGCGUAAAGCGCGUGUAGGCGGAUAUUUAAGUCAGAUGUGAAAGCCCCGAGCUUAACUUGGGAACUGCAUCUGAGACUGGAUGUCUAGAGUAUGGUAGAGGAUAGUGGAAUUUCCGGUGUAGCGGUGAAAUGCGUAGAUAUCGGAAAGAACACCAGUGGCGAAGGCGACUGUCUGGAUCAAUACUGACGCUGAGACGCGAAAGCGUGGGGAGCAAACAGG
This 430-nucleotide ribosomal RNA is filed under the name uncultured bacterium. RNAcentral's name for it is "bacterial SSU rRNA". It matches the Rfam family "Bacterial small subunit ribosomal RNA", at positions 355 to 776 of the family's 1533-position model. The record is from RNAcentral.